GGCUAACGCUGGCGGCGUGUCUUAGCCAUGCAAGUCGAGCGGACUUAUGGGGUAACUUAUAAGUCAGCGGCGGACGGCGGAGUAACACGUAGCUAACCUACCCUCUGGACGGGGAUAACCUACCGAAAGGUGGGCUAAUACCCGAUGUAGUCAUCCUGUAUAGGGGUGAUGAAAGGUGGGCUUCUGUUUACAAGCUCAUGCUGGAGGAGGGGGCUGCGGCCUAUCAGGUAGUUGGUAGGGUAAUAGCCUACCAAGCCGAUGACGGGUAGCCGGCCUGAGAGGGUGACCGGCCCGAGGGGCACUGAGAUACGGGUCCCACUCCUACGGGAGGCAGCAGGCUAGAAUUUGGGCAAUGGGGGAAACCCUGACCCAGUGACGCCGCGUGCAGGAAGGAGCCCGUUCGGGGUGUAACUGCUGUCGUGUAGGGAGAAGGGUACUAAGGUGAACAUCUUAGUACUUGACGGUACUACGAGGAGAAGCCCAGGCCUAACCUCGUGCCAGCAGCCGACGGUAAAAUGCGUACUCUGAC
RNAcentral lists this ribosomal RNA (529 nucleotides) under uncultured bacterium. Its description in RNAcentral is "bacterial SSU rRNA". It matches the Rfam family "Bacterial small subunit ribosomal RNA", at positions 28 to 535 of the family's 1533-position model. The record is from RNAcentral.